Molecule: long non-coding RNA, 633 nt
Filed under: Ricinus communis (castor bean)
Lineage: Eukaryota; Viridiplantae; Streptophyta; Magnoliopsida; Malpighiales; Euphorbiaceae
Description: long non-coding RNA (RCOM_LNC003382)
Source: RNAcentral
GAAUUCUUUUGAAUUUUUUUUUCAUGAUAAAUAAAGCCUAUAUUUGCUCACUCCAAUAUCCCACAAAUUCAUAUACUGCAUGGCAAUAAAUAAAUUAAUAAAUUACUCUGUUGUCUGGCACCAUAGUAAGAAUGGCUAUUACAAUGUCAAGACAAGAUAUAAGGAAUUCAUGUGCCAAACCAGGUGCAAGGGGAUUGAAAAAAAGCCUUUGGUAUUUGAAAGUACCACCAAAAGUAUAAAUAAAUAAAUAAAUAAAAAAGAAAAAAGAAUUCUUAUGGAGAGAGCAUGUAGAGACUAUCUUCCAACUAGAUCAAAUCUCAAACAGAAAGGUAUCUUCGCCUCUAAUCUAAGUAUGCUUUGUGACUCAGUUGUGGAAUGCAACAAACAUUUGUUUGUGUCUUGCCCGUUUGCUACUUCUUGUUGGAGCAAAGUUGACGAAUGUGACUGAGCUGCUGCAAAUGUUUUUUGAAAGUUCUUGUCGAGUGAUUUUUCAUUAUCUUAGCCAACCGAGAUGCGUUUGAUGUUUCUGUUAGGACUGUUUGUCUAAGAAGUCAGAUGGUCAAGACCACCUUAUAGUCAGUUGAUGCUGCUAUGGGUACUCUCUUGUCCAACUUAUUUUGUGGGUUAAUGGUU